This 569-nucleotide ribosomal RNA is filed under the name uncultured bacterium. Its description in RNAcentral is "partial 16S ribosomal RNA". It matches the Rfam family "Bacterial small subunit ribosomal RNA", at positions 355 to 938 of the family's 1533-position model. The record is from RNAcentral.
UGGGGAAUAUUGCACAAUGGGCGCAAGCCUGAUGCAGCAACGCCGCGUGAGGGACGACGGCCUUCGGGUUGUAAACCUCUUUUAGUAGGGAAGAAGCGAUAGUGACGGUACCUGCAGAAAAAGCACCGGCUAACUACGUGCCAGCAGCCGCGGUAAUACGUAGGGUGCGAGCGUUGUCCGGAAUUAUUGGGCGUAAAGAGCUCGUAGGCGGUCUGUCGCGUCUGCUGUGAAAACCCGAGGCUCAACCUCGGGCCUGCAGUGGGUACGGGCAGACUAGAGUGCGGUAGGGGAGAAUGGAAUUCCUGGUGUAGCGGUGGAAUGCGCAGAUAUCAGGAGGAACACCGAUGGCGAAGGCAGUUCUCUGGGCCGUAACUGACGCUGAGGAGCGAAAGCGUGGGGAGCGAACAGGAUUAGAUACCCUGGUAGUCCACGCCGUAAACGUUGGGCGCUAGAUGUGGGGACCAUUCCACGGUUUCCGUGUCGCAGCUAACGCAUUAAGCGCCCCGCCUGGGGAGUACGGCCGCAAGGCUAAAACUCAAAGGAAUUGACGGGGUCCAUAGCUGUUUCCU